This 421-nucleotide ribosomal RNA is filed under the name uncultured bacterium. RNAcentral's name for it is "partial 16S ribosomal RNA". It matches the Rfam family "Bacterial small subunit ribosomal RNA", at positions 360 to 773 of the family's 1533-position model. The record is from RNAcentral.
AAUCUUCCGCAAUGGACGAAAGUCUGACGGAGCAACGCAGCGUGAGUGAUGAAGGGUUUCGGCUCGUAAAACUCUGUUGUUAAGGAAGAACACUUGAGGUAGUAACUGGCCUUGAGAGGACGGUACUUAACCAGAAAGCCACGGCUAAUUACGUGCCAGCAGCCUCGGUAAUGCGUAGGGGGCGAGCGUUAACCGGAAUUACUGGGCGUAAAGGGUGCGUAGGCGGCCUUGUAAGUCAGAUGUGAAAGGCUACGGCUUAACCGGGGAGGGUCAUUGGAAACUGUUUUACUUGAGUACAGAAGAGGAGAGUGGAAUUCCAUGUGUAGCGGUGAAAUGCGCAGAGAUAUGGAGGAACACCAGUGGCGAAGGCGGCUCUCUGGUCUGUUACUGACGCUGAGGUGCGAAAGCGUGGGGAUCAAAC